UAACAUAUGGUUGUAAUUAUCGAGUUGUUAACAAUUGAAACAAGUAUAUUUUGCGUAUAAAUCAACUUGUUUGUCCAUUAAAUAUGAUCAUUUUUUCCUAGCGUUUCGCUCUGGCUUUGCACGGAUAGACAAAUUAUUACUUUAUAUUAGCUUUAAUGUAAAACGGCUUCCUUUUCCGUAGGUGUCGUUAAAGGGGCACGACACCAAUUCGCUCCCAGUUGACACUAGUGGAACGAACCAAAUUGAAACUCUUGCGCAUCGAUCUAUUACAAACAGAUACGAUAAUGAACACGCGCAGACUGCGUGGCGAUGUUGUGGGCAGCACGUGUGGGCUUGCUAAAUAAUUACCAGGCGUAUGUAUUCGAGUAAAAAUAAUUUAAUUUUCCACAUGGCCACUCAAUCACUCAAUGUCAAAGUAUGAACCACCAGACUGCUGAAUAUAAUAUGCAGACAUGUUCCACCUAAGUAUAUAAAUAAGUAUAUUAAACGUGUAGAAUUAUAAAUAAAACAUACGGGGGUUAUUUUUAGAAGUUUUGAGAGGUAUUUUCUUUUAUUUGCCCUUGAACUUUACGUGAGUAAUGACGAGGUAUAAACCUGCUACUGGCUACAAGCUGCAAAUGAUUAUAAGCAGAAAUGGUGCGGAUGAAACGAGAAAUUACGAUGAUAGUUAUGAACAAUGCUAUCUCUUAUUAUAAUCUUCAUUUUGAUGGAAAUAACUUGAUCAUAUUUUUUGUCAGAUGAUGCUGUCAAAUUGUGAUUUAUAUAAAUUAGGAUAAUUGGUAUGAUUGACAAGUAAUAGAUGAGACUGAAAAUGGAUAAGCUAGCUGAA
This is a long non-coding RNA of Galleria mellonella (greater wax moth), 829 nucleotides long. RefSeq lists it as uncharacterized. NCBI's taxonomy places the organism in Eukaryota, Metazoa, Arthropoda, Insecta, Lepidoptera, Pyralidae. The record is from RefSeq and is a predicted model, not a curated record. The transcript is spliced from 3 exons.